This is a non-coding RNA of Cricetulus griseus (Chinese hamster), 1290 nucleotides long. Lineage: Eukaryota; Metazoa; Chordata; Mammalia; Rodentia; Cricetidae. The record is from RefSeq and is a predicted model, not a curated record.
GGAUGGAACUAGUAGAAACCAUCUUGAGUGAGGUCACCCAGUCACAAAGACAAAAAUGGGAAUGGAGAGAAACAGGCUUCCUGAAUGCUUCACUGCCGGAGGGAGUGUCUCAGUUUCUCAGGAACUGAAAGGCACACUGUGCUUCAAAAACCAUGGACUCUAACUGGAAACACCUAUGAUGCAUGCCUCUCAAGGCCAUGAGACCAGAGUAACCCAUGAUUCCUGGCAGUUUCCCAUGCAGUACAUGAUAUCCAGGACUGUUUUCUAUGUGGUAACAUGACCUAAAGGACUGCUUUUCAGGCAGGUACAUGAUAUCCCGACUCCAUCAAAGUGGUUGUAGGAUAUCCAGAACUGGGUCCCAUGCUUUUAUAUAAUAUUCAGGAUGGCUCCCAAUGUGUUUCCCACAAAUCCUUGAUGCUUACCAUGUGGUACAUGGUAUCCAGAAAUUGUUCCUAUAUGGGUUCAUAAUAUCCAGGACGUCUUCCCAUGCAAGUACAUGCUAUGCAUGACUGCUUCUUAUAUGGGUACACCAUACUGAGGACAGCUUACCAUGGGUGAUCAACAAAUCCAUGCCGCCUCCCAUGUAUGUAAAACAUGCUCAGGACUUCUUCCCUUGCAUGUACUACAUAUUUAGAACCCCUUCCCAUGUAAGUACAUAAUAUUCAGAGCCAAUUCUCCAGGUAUAAGGUAUCUAUGGUACAAGAUUUCUAUGCCUUUUUUCUAGUUGGGUACAUCAUGUCCAGGACGUGUACAUAAUUUAUUUAGGUCUCAUUCCCAUGGGAACACAUGGUAUUCAGGACUGUUUCCUAUGCCAGUGAAUGACAUCAGAGACACUGGUCAGGCCUGUGCAUGUAUCCAUGCCUGCUUCCCAAUGUGGUUCUUGAUACUCAGGACUGCUUUUAUACAAUAUAUUGGGCUGCUUCCAAUGUGGUUCCAACAGAUCCUGCAAUGAUUACCACGUGGGUACAAGAUAACCUGGACCUCUGAACUGAAGAUUAAGAAGUUAGAACCCCAAAUCACACAGCAAGUUGUCCAAAGUGCCAGAGCUAUGGUCUGUACUCAUGCCACCUGAUGUUAAAUCUUGGCUCCUAUUACCACAUUGGCAGGAUCACUAAUACUCAUGCUUUGGCUAACGUCAGGAUCUUUGUAGUAAAAGCUAAAGGCCACCAAGUUUCUUGUUUGUGGACUUGAAAUGGCUAUCAUUGGACUUUGAGAGCAAUUUGAUCCCAUUUUUUGUCCCAUGAUGAAUUUAAAUUGAAAAAAUCAUAAAGGGUAUUGUACUGGUUGGUA